This 917-nucleotide ribosomal RNA is filed under the name uncultured Bacteroidota bacterium. RNAcentral describes it as "bacterial SSU rRNA". It matches the Rfam family "Bacterial small subunit ribosomal RNA", at positions 50 to 967 of the family's 1533-position model. Lineage: Bacteria; Pseudomonadati; Bacteroidota. The record is from RNAcentral.
UAUACAUGCAAGUCGAGGGAGAUUGUUGGAUUCGUCUGACAUGAAACCGGCGCACGGGUGCGUAACACGUAUGCAACCUACCUUUAACUGGGGUAUAGCUCAGAGAAAUCUGAAUUAAUCCCCCAUAAGACUACGACAUGGCAUCAUGAUGUAGUUAAAGCUCCGGCGGUUAAGGAUGGGCAUGCGGUACAUUAGCUAGUUGGUGAGGUAAUGGCUCACCAAGGCUACGAUGUAUAGGGGGUCUGAGAGGAUGAUCCCCCACACUGGUACUGAGACACGGACCAGACUCCUACGGGAGGCAGCAGUAGGGAAUAUUGGUCAAUGGACGCAAGUCUGAACCAGCCAUGCCGCGUGAAGGAUGAAGGCCCUCUGGGUCGUAAACUUCUUUUAUUAGGGAAGAAAACAUGGGAUGCGUCCCAAACUGACGGUACUUAAUGAAUAAGGAUCGGCUAACUUCGUGCCAGCAGCCGCGGUAAGACGAAGGAUCCAAGCGUUGUCCGGAUUUACUGGGUUUAAAGGGUGCGUAGGCGGAAAAUUAAGUCAGUGGUGAAAGCCCGCAGCUCAACUGUGGAACUGCCAUUGAAACUGAUUUUCUUGAAUAUAGCUGAGGCAGAUGGAAUAUAACAUGUAGCGGUGAAAUGCUUAGAUAUGUUAUAGAACACCGAUUGCGAAGGCAGUCUGCUAAACUAUUAUUGACGCUGAGGCACGAAAGCGUGGGGAGCGAACAGGAUUAGAUACCCUGGUAGUCCACGCCCUAAACGUUGAUUACUCGCUGUUGGCGAUAUACUGUCAGUGGCUAAGCGAAAGCGUUAAGUAAUCCACCUGGGAAGUACGACCGCAAGGUUGAAACUCAAAGGAAUUGACGGGGGCCCGCACAAGCGGAGGAGCAUGUGGUUUAAUUCGAUGAUACGCGAGAA